UAGAGUUUGAUCAUGGCUCAGGAUGAACGCUGGCGGCGUGCUUAACACAUGCAAGUCGAACGGACUCAUAUUGAAACCUAGUGAUUUAUGAGUUAGUGGCGGACGGGUGAGUAACGCGUGGAUAACCUGCCGUAUACCGGGGGAUAACACUUAGAAAUAGGUGCUAAUACCGUAUAAGCGCACGGCUCCGCAUGGGGCAGUGUGAAAAACUCCGGUGGUAUACGAUGGAUCCGCGUCUGAUUAGCUAGUUGGCGGGGUAACGGCUCACCAAGGCAGCGAUCAGUAGCCGGCCUGAGAGGGUGGACGGCCACAUUGGGACUGAGACACGGCCCAAACUCCUACGGGAGGCAGCAGUGGGGAAUAUUGCACAAUGGGGGAAACCCUGAUGCAGCGACGCCGCGUGAGUGAAGAAGUAUCUCGGUACGUAAAGCUCUAUCAGCAGGGAAGAAAAUGACGGUACCUGACCAAGAAGCCCCGGCUAACUACGUGCCAGCAGCCGCGGUAAUACGUAGGGGGCAAGCGUUAUCCGGAUUUACUGGGUGUAAAGGGAGCGUAGACGGCAGCACAAGUCUGGAGUGAAAUCCCGGGGCUUAACCCCGGAACUGCUUUGGAAACUGUGCGGCUGGAGUGCAGGAGGGGUAAGCGGAAUUCCUAGUGUAGCGGUGAAAUGCGUAGAUAUUAGGAGGAACACCGGUGGCGAAGGCGGCUUACUGGACUGUAACUGACGUUGAGGCUCGAAAGCGUGGGGAGCAAACAGGAUUAGAUACCCUGGUAGUCCACGCCGUAAACGAUGAUUACUAGGUGUCGGGGGACCAAGGUCCUCCGGUGCCGGCGCAAACGCAUUAAGUAAUCCACCUGGGGAGUACGUUCGCAAGAAUGAAACUCAAAGGAAUUGACGG
This 899-nucleotide ribosomal RNA is filed under the name uncultured bacterium. Its description in RNAcentral is "bacterial SSU rRNA". It matches the Rfam family "Bacterial small subunit ribosomal RNA", at positions 1 to 916 of the family's 1533-position model. The record is from RNAcentral.